AGCAGCCGCGGUAAUUCCAGCUCCAAUAGCGUAUAUUAAAGUUGUUGCAGUUAAAAAGCUCGUAGUUGAAUUUCGGGAUCGAUACGUCGGUCGUGCCUUCGGUACGCACUGGCGUUUAUCGAUUUCUCCCUUCUGACGAACCAUGAUGUCAUUAAUUUGGUGUUAUGGGGAAUCAGGACUGUUACUUUGAAAAAAUUAGAGUGUUUAAAGCAGGCAUUAGCUUGAAUACAUUAGCAUGGGAUAAUGAAAUAGGACAUCAGAUUCUAUUUUGUUGGUUUCUAGGAUCGAUGUAAUGAUUAAUAGGGAUAGUUGGGGGCAUUAGUAUUCAAUUGUCAGAGGUGAAAUUCUUGGAUUUAUUGAAGACUAACUACUGCGAAAGCAUUUGCCAAGGAUGUUUUCAUUAAUCAAGAACGAAAGUUAGGGGAUCGAAGACGAUCAGAUACCGUCGUAGUCUUAACCAUAAACUAUGCCGACUAGGGAUCGGAUGAUGUUAAUUUUAUAAUUGA
Molecule: ribosomal RNA, 506 nt
Filed under: uncultured Glomus
Lineage: Eukaryota; Fungi; Glomeromycota; Glomeromycetes; Glomerales; Glomeraceae
Description: SSU rRNA
Rfam family: Eukaryotic small subunit ribosomal RNA
Source: RNAcentral